Molecule: long non-coding RNA, 255 nt
Organism: Nematostella vectensis (starlet sea anemone)
Lineage: Eukaryota; Metazoa; Cnidaria; Anthozoa; Actiniaria; Edwardsiidae
Exons: 2
Source: RefSeq, a predicted model, not a curated record
GCAAAAAUCUCAAAAUACUAAAAUUUACCGAUUUCAUUAACAGGGCGGACACUACCAGGCCACCUUUUCCGACCUUUGUUUGGUAGUGUUGUGCCCAACCCUUGCUGGAGACCCAGAAGUAAGGGCCACUAUUGACUUAAGCAAUGUUACCCAGGAUCGCAUACAAGCUGCUGUAGCAGAGGCUGAGGCGAGACUGGCCCUUACAACCGAAUCAAUGUGAGUUUUGUUGAUUGUCUUGAAUCACCAUCACCAUCC